GCGGGCAUAGUAUAGCGGCAGUACGUAACCUUCCCAAGGUUGAAGUGUGGGUUCGACUCCCAUUGCCCGCU
RNAcentral lists this transfer RNA (71 nucleotides) under bacterium. Its description in RNAcentral is "tRNA-Gly". It matches the Rfam family "tRNA". From Rfam's summary of the family: Transfer RNA (tRNA) molecules are approximately 80 nucleotides in length. Their secondary structure includes four short double-helical elements and three loops (D, anti-codon, and T loops). The record is from RNAcentral.